This 764-nucleotide ribosomal RNA is filed under the name Amycolatopsis sp. RNAcentral describes it as "bacterial SSU rRNA". It matches the Rfam family "Bacterial small subunit ribosomal RNA", at positions 84 to 860 of the family's 1533-position model. The record is from RNAcentral. Lineage: Bacteria; Bacillati; Actinomycetota; Actinomycetes; Pseudonocardiales; Pseudonocardiaceae.
CGGGUGGAUUAGUGGCGAACGGGUGAGUAACACGUGGGUAAUCUGCCCUGCACUCUGGGAUAAGCCUUGGAAACGAGGUCUAAUACCGGAUAUCACAACGCUUCGCAUGGAGUGUUGUUGAAAGUUCUGGCGGUGCAGGAUGAACCCGCGGCCUAUCAGCUUGUUGGUGGGGUAGUGGCCUACCAAGGCGACGACGGGUAGCCGGCCUGAGAGGGUGACCGGCCACACUGGGACUGAGACACGGCCCAGACUCCUACGGGAGGCAGCAGUGGGGAAUAUUGCACAAUGGGCGAAAGCCUGAUGCAGCGACGCCGCGUGAGGGAUGACGGCCUUCGGGUUGUAAACCUCUUUCGCCAGGGACGAAGCGCAAGUGACGGUACCUGGAUAAGAAGCACCGGCUAACUACGUGCCAGCAGCCGCGGUAAUACGUAGGGUGCAAGCGUUGUCCGGAUUUAUUGGGCGUAAAGAGCUCGUAGGCGGUUUGUCGCGUCGGCUGUGAAAUCUGGAGGCUUAACCUUCAGCGUGCAGUCGAUACGGGCAGACUUGAGUUCGGUAGGGGAGACUGGAAUUCCUGGUGUAGCGGUGAAAUGCGCAGAUAUCAGGAGGAACACCGGUGGCGAAGGCGGGUCUCUGGGCCGAUACUGACGCUGAGGAGCGAAAGCGUGGGGAGCGAACAGGAUUAGAUACCCUGGUAGUCCACGCUGUAAACGGUGGGUGCUAGGUGUGGGCGACAUUCCACGUUGUCCGUGCCGUAGCUAACGCAU